RNAcentral lists this ribosomal RNA (460 nucleotides) under uncultured bacterium. Its description in RNAcentral is "partial 16S ribosomal RNA". It matches the Rfam family "Bacterial small subunit ribosomal RNA", at positions 338 to 795 of the family's 1533-position model. The record is from RNAcentral.
CCUACGGGAGGCAGCAGUGAGGAAUAUUGGUCAAUGGACGAGAGUCUGAACCAGCCAAGUAGCGUGAAGGAUGGCUGCCCUAUGGGUUGUAAACUUCUUUUAUAAAGGAAUAAAACGAGGCACGUGUGCCUUUUUGCAUGUACUUUAUGAAUAAGGAUCGGCUAACUCCGUGCCAGCAGCCGCGGUAAUACGGAGGAGCCGAGCGUUAUCCGGAUUUAUUGGGUUUAAAGGGUGCGUAGAUGGGUUGUUAAGUCAGUUGUGAAAGUUUGCGGCUCAACCGGAAAAUUGCAAUUGAUACUGGCAGGCUGGAGUACAGUUGAGGUAGCCGGAAUUCGCGGUGUAGCGGUGAAAUGCUUAGAUAUCACGAAGAACCCCGAUUGCGAAGGCAGCUUACUAAACUGUGACUGACAUUGAUGCUCGAAGGCGAGGGUAUCAAAAAGGAUUAGAUACCCGUGUAGUC